This 437-nucleotide ribosomal RNA is filed under the name uncultured Clostridium sp. RNAcentral describes it as "partial 16S ribosomal RNA". It matches the Rfam family "Bacterial small subunit ribosomal RNA", at positions 341 to 792 of the family's 1533-position model. The record is from RNAcentral. Lineage: Bacteria; Bacillati; Bacillota; Clostridia; Eubacteriales; Clostridiaceae.
ACGGAAGGCAGCAGUGGGGAAUAUUGCACAAUGGGGGAAACCCUGAUGCAGCGAUGCCGCGUGAAGGAUGAAGGUUUUCGGCUCGUAAACUUUUAUCGAUCUUGAAGAAACAACUGACGGUACCUAAGUAAGAAGCUCCGGCUAACUAUGUGCCAGCAGCCGCGGUAAUACCUAGGGAGCACGCGUUAUCCGGAUUUACUGGGUGUAAAGGGUGAGUAGGCGGCAUGGCAAGUCAGUCGUUAAAGACCAGAGCUUAACUCGGGACCAGCGAUUGAAACUGUAAAGCUAGAGUACAGGAGAGGUUAGUGGAAUUACUAGUGUAGAGGUGGAAUUCGUAGAUAUUAGUAAGAACACCAAUGGCGAAGGCAGCUAACUGGCCUGAAACUGACGCUGAGGCACGAAAGUGUGGGGAGCAAACAGGAUUAGAUACCCUGGUA